CAGUUCUAUAGAACCAGUAGCUCUGAAGAGCAGCUGACACCGAACCGGUUGGCUGCGACGACCGUCUGGUCAUCUGUUUGGCUCACCCGCCCGCCCGGGCUCUAUGCUGUCCUUUAUCCAAUGCUUUUACCUCCUCAGCUGUUUUGCACAGCACUGCUGAGUGCCGCUUGUCAGCUGGAGAAGGUAAAUGCUCGAAGGAGCCAGUAGUACACACACGCAUUGCAGCACACACUUGGCACACAUGCGGACGCUCCCCAAACCGGUUGUCAUGCUGGUAGGAUCCUGCCCCUGGUUACUCCCCAGUAGUAACAUAGCAGAUGUUUAUUGUGGACCAACUGAAAUUAUGGAUUGGAUUGAGACAGACCUAUCUCUUCUUGAAAGUCUGAAGUGAUGAAGCUACCACAACUUCCAAAGGCAACUUCUUUUCCAUUGGUUGACUGUUCUAGUAUUUUACCUGAUCAUUCUCAUAUUCUCCCCUCCAUUGUCUUUCUUGAUAUGUGUUGGAUCUGAGGAUUUAGAAAGCUGUUGCUUCUCAGAUUCAAGUUUUUGUCUCUCCCUACAAUUCUAUGAAUUGAGUAAAAAGUUAACCAAGGUGUAGUCAUUUGUAUUACAGUCCCAGGCCA
Molecule: long non-coding RNA, 623 nt
Filed under: Naja naja (Indian cobra)
Lineage: Eukaryota; Metazoa; Chordata; Lepidosauria; Squamata; Elapidae
Description: lncRNA (ENSNNAG00000003475.1)
Source: RNAcentral